GACGAACGCUGGCGGCGUGCCUAACACAUGCAAGUUGAGCGACGAACCAGGGCUUGCCCUGGGGCAAAGCAGCGAACGGGUGAGUAACACGUGGGUAACCUACCCCGAUAACCGGAACAACCCGAGGAAACUCGGGCUAAUACCGGAUGUGCUCACUGGACUUCGGUUCAGUGCGUAAAGGAAGCUUCGGCCUCCGUAUCGGGAGGGGCCCGCGGCCCAUUAGUUUGUUGGUGAGGUAACGGCUCACCAAGACCGCGAUGGGUAGCUGGUCUGAGAGGACGAUCAGCCACACUGGGACUGAGACACGGCCCAGACUCCUACGGGAGGCAGCAGUGGGGAAUCUUGCGCAAUGCGCGAAAGCGUGACGCAGCAACGCCGCGUGGGGGAAGAAGGCCUUCGGGUUGUAAACCCCUUUCAGGAGGGACGAAGGUUCGGCGGUGAAUAGCCGGCCGGACUGACGGUACCUCCACAAGAAGCCCCGGCUAACUACGUG
RNAcentral lists this ribosomal RNA (493 nucleotides) under uncultured bacterium. RNAcentral describes it as "partial 16S ribosomal RNA". It matches the Rfam family "Bacterial small subunit ribosomal RNA", at positions 28 to 507 of the family's 1533-position model. The record is from RNAcentral.